AAGUCGUAACAAGGUUUCCGUAGGUGAACCUGCGGAAGGAUCAUUACAGAAUAAACCUGAUGGAUUGCUGCUGGCUCCCUUGGGAGCAAAUGUGCACAUCUAUCAUCUUUAUCUUUCCACCUGUGCACACUAUGUAGACCUGGAUACUCAUUCUAGAUGUGUUGGAUCACUCUGGCACUUAUAGGUUUUGGAGAGUGCUGUUUUGAUAGCUCUCAUCAACAUUUCCAGGUCUAUGUUCUACACUUUCAAACUCCAUAGAAUGUAUCAGAAUGAAAUUCUGGCUUUUAUAGCCAAUAAAACAUAUACAACUUUCAGCAACGGAUCUCUUGGCUCUC
Molecule: unclassified non-coding RNA, 335 nt
Filed under: Conobolbitina striipes
Lineage: Eukaryota; Fungi; Basidiomycota; Agaricomycetes; Agaricales; Bolbitiaceae
Also listed under: 1 other name
Description: Conocybe striipes partial internal transcribed spacer region
Rfam family: Eukaryotic small subunit ribosomal RNA (bases 1-46)
Source: RNAcentral